GCGAUUUACUUCGGUAAAGAGCGGCGGACGGGUGAGUAACGCGUGGGUAACCUGCCCUGUACACACGGAUAACAUACCGAAAGGUAUGCUAAUACGAGAUAAUAUACUUUUAUCGCAUGGUAGAAGUAUCAAAGCUCCGGCGGUACAGGAUGGACCCGCGUCUGAUUAGCUAGUUGGUAAGGUAACGGCUUACCAAGGCGACGAUCAGUAGCCGACCUGAGAGGGUGAUCGGCCACAUUGGAACUGAGACACGGUCCAAACUCCUAUGGGAGGCAGCAGUGGGGAAUAUUGCACAAUGGGCGAAAGCCUGAUGCAGCAACGCCGCGUGAGCGAUGAAGGCCUUCGGGUCGUAAAGCUCUGUCCUCAAGGAAGAUAAUGACGGUACUUGAGGAGGAAGCCCCGGCUAACUACGUGCCAGCAGCCGCGGUAAUACGUAGGGGGCUAGCGUUAUCCGGAAUUACUGGGCGUAAAGGGUGCGUAGGUGGUUUCUUAAGUCAGAGGUGAAAGGCUACGGCUCAACCGUAGUAAGCCUUUGAAACUGGGAAACUUGAGUGCAGGAGAGGAGAGUGGAAUUCCUAGUGUAGCGGUGAAAUGCGUAGAUAUUAGGAGGAACACCAGUUGCGAAGGCGGCUCUCUGGACUGUAACUGACACUGAGGCACGAAAGCGUGGGGAGCAAACAGGAUUAGAUAUCCUGGUAGUCCACGCCGUAACGAUGAGACUAGCUGUCGGAGGUUACCCCCUUCGGUGGCGCAGCUAACGCAUUAAGUACU
This 771-nucleotide ribosomal RNA is filed under the name uncultured Peptostreptococcus sp. Its description in RNAcentral is "bacterial SSU rRNA". It matches the Rfam family "Bacterial small subunit ribosomal RNA", at positions 66 to 868 of the family's 1533-position model. Lineage: Bacteria; Bacillati; Bacillota; Clostridia; Peptostreptococcales; Peptostreptococcaceae. The record is from RNAcentral.